ACGGCCAUACCAUGCUGAAUACACCGGUUCUCGUUAGAUCACCGAAGUCAAGUAUCAUUGGGCGCGGUCAGUACGCGAUAACCACCUGGGAACACCGCGUGCCGUUG
This is a non-coding RNA of Caerostris darwini, 107 nucleotides long. NCBI's taxonomy places the organism in Eukaryota, Metazoa, Arthropoda, Arachnida, Araneae, Araneidae. The record is from the annotation of a GenBank genome assembly.